Molecule: ribosomal RNA, 301 nt
Filed under: uncultured bacterium
Lineage: Bacteria
Description: partial 16S ribosomal RNA
Rfam family: Bacterial small subunit ribosomal RNA
Source: RNAcentral
CAGUCGCCGCGGGAAUACAGAGGGUGCAGGCGUUAAUCGGAUUUACUGGGCGUAAAGGGCGCGUAGGUGGUUAUUUAAGUGAGAUGUGAAAGCCCCGGGCUUAACCUGGGAACUGCAUCUUAUACUGGGUAACUGGAGUGCAGUAGAGGGUAGUGGAAUUUCCGGUGUAGCGGUGAAAUGCGUAGAUAUCGGAAGGAACACCAGUGGCGAAGGCGGCUACCUGGACUGAGACUGACACUGAGGCGCGAGAGCGUGGGGAGCAAACAGGAUUAGAUACCCCUGUAGUCCCUGUCUCUUAUAC